UCAGCCGCCGCGGUAACACCGGCGGCCCGAGUGGUGAUCGUGAUUAUUGGGUCUAAAGGGUCCGUAGCCGGUUGGUCAGUCCUCCGGGAAAUCUGAUAGCUCAACUAUUAGGCUUUCGGGGGAUACUGCCAGACUUGGAACCGGGAGAGGUAAGAGGUACUACAGGGGUAGGAGUGAAAUCUUGUAAUCCCUGUGGGACCACCUGUGGCGAAGGCAUCUUACCAGAACGGGUUCGACGGUGAGGGCGAAAGCUGGGGGCACGAACCGGAUUAGAUACCCGGGUAGUCCCAGCCGUAAACGAUGCUCGCUAGGUGUCAGGCAUGGCGCGACCGUGUCUGGUGCCGCAGGGAAGCCGUGAAGCGAGCCACCUGGGAAGUACGGCCGCAAGGCUGAAACUUAAAGGAAUUGGCGGGGGAGCACAACAACGGGUGGGAAGCCUGCGGUUUAAUUGGACUCAACGCCGGACAACUCACCGGGGGCGACAGCAAUAUGUAGGCCAAGCUGAAGACUUUGCCUGAAUCGCUGAGAGGAGGUGCAUGG
Molecule: ribosomal RNA, 540 nt
Filed under: uncultured archaeon
Lineage: Archaea
Description: bacterial SSU rRNA
Rfam family: Archaeal small subunit ribosomal RNA
Source: RNAcentral